CCCAGUUCGGACUGUGGUCUGCAACCCGACCACACGAAGCUGGAAUCGCUAGUAAUCGCGGAUCAGAAUGCCGCGGUGAAUACGUUCCCGGGUCUUGUACACACCGCCCGUCACACCAUGGGAGUCAGCAACGCCCGAAGUCAGUGACCCAACCUUUAAGGAGGGAGCUGCCGAAGGCGGGGCAGGUGACUGGGGUGAAGUCGUAACAAGGUACC
This 215-nucleotide ribosomal RNA is filed under the name uncultured bacterium. RNAcentral's name for it is "partial 16S ribosomal RNA". It matches the Rfam family "Bacterial small subunit ribosomal RNA", at positions 1287 to 1500 of the family's 1533-position model. The record is from RNAcentral.